This is a non-coding RNA of Populus trichocarpa (black cottonwood), 155 nucleotides long. Lineage: Eukaryota; Viridiplantae; Streptophyta; Magnoliopsida; Malpighiales; Salicaceae. The record is from Rfam.
UCUAACACUCGAGAUAUAGGCUGAAUACUAAAUAGUGUCUGGGCUGCAGGAUAGAUUCUGACUUCUCCGUUGUUGCUACCAUUUGAAUUAAGAAAUAACACUUUUAAAUCUUGGACUCUCAUGAAAGUUUUAGGCCUAUGUCUUAGCUUUCCAUG